RNAcentral lists this long non-coding RNA (1234 nucleotides) under Salmo salar (Atlantic salmon). RNAcentral's name for it is "lncRNA (ENSSSAG00000113827.1)". Lineage: Eukaryota; Metazoa; Chordata; Actinopteri; Salmoniformes; Salmonidae. The record is from RNAcentral.
CUUGGCUGGGCUACGAGAGGGCCUGCCUGCCUGGCUGCUUUACCAGAGCUGCCAGGGACACAGAGGAUGAUGGCUUCCUGUUCUCCUCAACAGAUACUGUAUGUGGAUCCCGCAGGAGAAAAAGAGAGGAAGAGAGAACCUGCUUAGAAUUUCACCUCCGGAUUCGGAAUGUUUCGGAAUGUUUCGGAAUCGCCUCUACUGUGGAAUAUCUACAGAGCUACCUGACAAGCUGCUGUGAGCAUGAUGGAGGGAGGAGGCAGAGGAAGGAGGAGGGAGGAGGAAGAAGGAGGAGGAGGAGGGAGGAGGUGGUAGGCCAGUGUAUUCCUCUCUCUGGCUCAUUAGGGAGCAGGUGAGAAACAGGGAGGAGGCGGUAGGCCAGUGUAUUCCUCUCUCUGCUCAUUAGGGAGCAGGUGAGAAACAGGGAGGAGGCGGUAGGCCAGUGUAUUCCUCUCUCUGCUCAUUAGGGAGCAGGUGAGAAACAGGGAGGAGGCGGUAGGCCAGUGUAUUCCUCUCUCUGCUCAUUAGGGAGCAGGUGAGAAACAGGGAGGAGGCGGUAGGCCAGUGUAUUCCUCUCUCUGCUCAUUAGGGAGCAGGUGAGAAACAUUAACAGCAGCAGCUGCACUGCUCUGCACAUGUGGUAGAGGGCUUGAGCUAGCCCACCCCACUGUCUGUCUGUCCACCAGUGGAAACUCACUCCUCUCUGGGGAAUGCCUAGUGUACACCAGUUACCAGGAGUACAUUUAGUAAAGGCUUCUUGGACACACAUUAAGCCCAGUCCUGUACUAAAUAGCUCUUUAAAUGGAGAUUCUCUAUUAAAUAUGUUUUUUACUUCUGGAUUAGGCUUAAUCUGUGUCUGGAAAACUGUCCCAUUGAGUAACUAAGAGUUACACUUCAGACAAUCCCAGUAUCUCUGUCUCAGACUGGUUAGAGGUGAAUGAAUCUGUGAUUAUGUGUUUAUCUUUAAUUCUUUCAACAACAAAAAAAGAAAGAAAGAAAGUUCCACACUCUGCUCCCAACAAUUUAACGAGUAAACAUAACCAACGUUGCAGCACGCAGUUACAACAUUAAUGCUUCCACCAGGUUGCUUUUCACUAUGUUUUAAUCCUAACCAUUUUUCUGUGUUUACUGAGGUGUUGUUGAAGCUGUCCUCCUGACUUGGCUGACUGGGACCAUGGUACUGGAGGACCAGAGUAGACUGACGGGUCUAUCACUGUCCUUUGGGGUGAGGUAGUAG